Molecule: ribosomal RNA, 253 nt
Filed under: uncultured bacterium
Lineage: Bacteria
Description: partial 16S ribosomal RNA
Rfam family: Bacterial small subunit ribosomal RNA
Source: RNAcentral
UACGGAGGGGGUUAGCGUUGUUCGGAAUUACUGGGCGUAAAGCGCGCGUAGGCGGAUUGGAAAGUUGGGGGUGAAAUCCCGGGGCUCAACCCCGGAACGGCCUCCAAAACUCCCAGUCUUGAGUUCGAGAGAGGUGAGUGGAAUUCCGAGUGUAGAGGUGAAAUUCGUAGAUAUUCGGAGGAACACCAGUGGCGAAGGCGGCUCACUGGCUCGAUACUGACGCUGAGGUGCGAAAGCGUGGGGAGCAAACUGG